This 477-nucleotide ribosomal RNA is filed under the name Salmonella enterica. Its description in RNAcentral is "partial 23S ribosomal RNA". It matches the Rfam family "Bacterial large subunit ribosomal RNA", at positions 776 to 1250 of the family's 2925-position model. Lineage: Bacteria; Pseudomonadati; Pseudomonadota; Gammaproteobacteria; Enterobacterales; Enterobacteriaceae. The record is from RNAcentral.
GAACCGACUAAUGUUGAAAAAUUAGCGGAUGACCUGUGGCUGGGGGUGAAAGGCCAAUCAAACCGGGAGAUAGCUGGUUCUCCCCGAAAGCUAUUUAGGUAGCGCCUCGUGAAUUCAUCUCCGGGGGUAGAGCACUGUUUCGGCUAGGGGGCCAUCCCGGCUUACCAACCCGAUGCAAACUGCGAAUACCGGAGAAUGUUAUCACGGGAGACACACGGCGGGUGCUAACGUCCGUCGUGAAGAGGGAAACAACCCAGACCGCCAGCUAAGGUCCCAAAGUCAUGGUUAAGUGGGAAACGAUGUGGGAAGGCCCAGACAGCCAGGAUGUUGGCUUAGAAGCAGCCAUCAUUUAAAGAAAGCGUAAUAGCUCACUGGUCGAGUCGGCCUGCGCGGAAGAUGUAACGGGGCUAAACCAUGCACCGAAGCUGCGGCAGCGACGCUUAUGCGUUGUUGGGUAGGGGAGCGUUCUGUAAGCCU